This 371-nucleotide unclassified non-coding RNA is filed under the name soil metagenome. Its description in RNAcentral is "partial contains 5.8S ribosomal RNA, internal transcribed spacer 2, and large subunit ribosomal RNA". The stretch from base 1 to 120 matches the Rfam family "5.8S ribosomal RNA", at positions 35 to 154 of the family's 154-position model. The record is from RNAcentral.
GAUGAAGAACGUAGCGAAAUGCGAUAAGUAAUGUGAAUUGCAGAAUUCAGUGAAUCAUCGAAUCUUUGAACGCAUCUUGCGCUCCUUGGUAUUCCGAGGAGCAUGCCUGUUUGAGUGUCAUUAAAGUUCUCAACCACGUGCUUACAUAUGUGGCUUGGAUGUGGGGGUUUGCAGGCUUUCUCUGAGGGUCUGCUCCUCUGAAAUGCAUUAGUGGUAUUCCUGAGCUUUACUACAGAUGUGAUAAUUUAUCUACAUCCCAAAAGUAUGCUUCAACAACACCGCUCCUAACAAGCGAAAGCACAUUUCGAUGAAUUUGACCUCAAAUCAGGUAGGACUACCCGCUGAACUUAAGCAUAUCAAUAAGCGGAGGA